This 544-nucleotide unclassified non-coding RNA is filed under the name Melitaea cinxia (Glanville fritillary). RNAcentral's name for it is "misc RNA ENSMCXG00005007462.1". Lineage: Eukaryota; Metazoa; Arthropoda; Insecta; Lepidoptera; Nymphalidae. The record is from RNAcentral.
UUGUAGAUCCAUAACGUAUAAACCUUUUGCAGUACUGGUAAAGUCUGUGGAAGAACAUUGUACUAUACUUACCACACGUUUAAGAAUUACUGCCUACUGGAUUAUGUCAACUGUAUGGAAAGUCUGGCAAAUCGUUCACAUGGGGGAGUGUUUUAACGUGACCGAGCUGACCGAAUACUUACGUAAGUAUGACCUACUUUAACUCAAUAGGUUACCUCCUGUUUUUCACGUUAAACAUUAUUAUAAAAGUUACAUAAAAUAUUUAUUUCAUAUCGGCGUGCGUUUCUUACAAUUAUUUUACAUCAGACCAGCAGCUCUUAGACAUAAUUCCUAACACAGUAACGCGGAUUACUACAACUGUAUUAAUUUAUUGUAACUUUGUAAUCUUAUUAAAAAGUUAUAUGAUUUUAAAACAUAGUCAAUAUAAUAUAAUUUUCAGUGUACCCAUAUGAUGAUGACUACUUCCUAGACCAAUAUUAUAUAAUGGAAGAUCACUGAACAAAUGUUAUAAAUAAAUAAAAAUAUUUUAUAUUGUUAUACGUUU